RNAcentral lists this ribosomal RNA (500 nucleotides) under uncultured bacterium. RNAcentral's name for it is "partial 16S ribosomal RNA". It matches the Rfam family "Bacterial small subunit ribosomal RNA", at positions 30 to 523 of the family's 1533-position model. The record is from RNAcentral.
AUUGAACGCUGGCGGAAUGCUUUACACAUGCAAGUCGAACGGCAGCACGGACUUCGGUCCGGUGGCGAGGCGCGAACGGGUGAGUAAUGUAUCGGAACGUGCCCAGUCGUGGGGGAUCACGUAGUGAAAAUUACGUUAAUACCGCAUGCGAUCUAUGGAUGAAAGCGGGGGAUCGCAAGACCUCGCGCGAUGGGAGCGGCCGAUGUCAGAUUAGGUAGUUGGUGGGGUAAAGGCCCACCAAGCCAACGAUCUGUAGCUGGUCUGAGAGGACGACCAGCCACACUGGAACUGAGACACGGUCCAGACUCCUACGGGAGGCAGCAGUGGGGAAUUUUGGACAAUGGGCGAAAGCCUGAUCCAGCCACGCCGCGUGCAGGAUGAAGGCCCUCGGGUUGUAAACUGCUUUUGUACAGAACGAAAAGGUUUCUACUAAUACUAGGAGCUCAUGACGGUACUGUAAGAAUAAGCACCGGCUAACUACGUGCCAGCAGCCGCAGUAA